UGGACAGAUUAUUGUAUUCGACUGUAUACACAGCGUGAAAUAGGGGAUUACACUGUUUUUAUAAUGGAAAGUGAAUCAAUUAACAUAAUAGACUCCU
Molecule: microRNA precursor, 97 nt
Filed under: Nicotiana attenuata
Lineage: Eukaryota; Viridiplantae; Streptophyta; Magnoliopsida; Solanales; Solanaceae
Description: MIR6152 microRNA precursor family
Rfam family: MIR6152 microRNA precursor family
Source: Rfam by way of RNAcentral